Molecule: transfer RNA, 74 nt
Filed under: Cordylochernes scorpioides
Lineage: Eukaryota; Metazoa; Arthropoda; Arachnida; Pseudoscorpiones; Chernetidae
Description: tRNA-Ile
Source: RNAcentral
UGUCCAGGAAUGGGAAUCGAACCUACAGUGUUCCGCUUAUCGGGCUGAUGCCAUGUCCACUAGGCUUCCCAUGC